Long non-coding RNA from Pseudophryne corroboree (corroboree frog), 193 nucleotides. RefSeq lists it as uncharacterized. The transcript is spliced from 3 exons. The record is from RefSeq and is a predicted model, not a curated record. NCBI's taxonomy places the organism in Eukaryota, Metazoa, Chordata, Amphibia, Anura, Myobatrachidae.
UGGACAGACUGGCUCUGAGGCACCAUGACUGGCAGACAGACUUCUACGAGGACACAGCAAGAUAAGAGCUUCUGGUUCAUGUUGGUGUUCAGUCUCCUGAUACAUUGUGGCACUGAAGGUUGCUCCGGUCUCCCUCCUCUCUCCCUCUCCCCCUCCUCAGGAGGUCCACCUGCGGACCAUGGGGCCAUGCUGU